Molecule: ribosomal RNA, 567 nt
Filed under: uncultured bacterium
Lineage: Bacteria
Description: partial 16S ribosomal RNA
Rfam family: Bacterial small subunit ribosomal RNA
Source: RNAcentral
UGGGAAUAUUGGACAAUGGGCGGAAGCCUGAUCCAGCAACGCCGCGUGAGGGAUGACGGCCUUCGGGUUGUAAACCUCUUUCAGUACCGACGAAGCGAAAGUGACGGUAGGUACAGAAGAAGCACCGGCCAACUACGUGCCAGCAGCCGCGGUAAUACGUAGGGUGCGAGCGUUGUCCGGAAUUAUUGGGCGUAAAGGGCUCGUAGGCGGUUUGUCACGUCGGGAGUGAAAACACUGGGCUUAACUCAGUGCUUGCUUUCGAUACGGGCAGACUAGAGGCAUGCAGGGAGAACGGAAUUCCUGGUGUAGCGGUGAAAUGCGCAGAUAUCAGGAGGAACACCGGUGGCGAAGGCGGUUCUCUGGGCAUGUCCUGACGCUGAGGAGCGAAAGUGUGGGGAGCGAACAGGAUUAGAUACCCUGGUAGUCCACACCGUAAAACGUUGGGCGCUAGGUGUGGGGCCUAUUCCAUGGGUUCCGUGCCGCAGCUAACGCAUUAAGCGCCCCGCCUGGGGAGUACGGCCGCAAGGCUAAAACUCAAAUGAAUUGACGGGGUCAUAGCUGUUUCCU